RNAcentral lists this long non-coding RNA (1098 nucleotides) under Dromaius novaehollandiae (emu). Its description in RNAcentral is "lncRNA (ENSDNVG00000012288.1)". Lineage: Eukaryota; Metazoa; Chordata; Aves; Casuariiformes; Dromaiidae. The record is from RNAcentral.
GGUAGAUUGGAAGCCAGCAGUUACAGUCUAAUGACUAUUGAUUUCCAGUGGUAGUUAGAUACCUCAAAAUAAAUGAAGGAAGGAAGGAAAUGCAUGCUCUUGCAACUGCCCCUGUGUCUCCAGAGCUGGGGCCGCACAAGGGCUGUCUGCGGAGGCAGAAGUACCUCCCUGGCUUCCCGAGAGGUCUCCUCCAAGAGUGAGAGAGGACAAAACAUGCCACUGAUGAUGAGGACAAAUGUUCUUCCUGGUGCUGUGAUCCUCAGCACCAUCCAUAUUCAUCGCUGACAGACCGCAGUGGGUUGGCUUGGUGGUGUCCUGCUUCUCUCCCAGCUUGAAAUCCUAUUUUGUAAAUGGCUCUGAGCCCUGAGCAGYGAUUGGGAGCGAGGACCAGCUUUGGCUAACCUUCUCCUGGUGACAGCCUGCUCAGCUGGGUCUGUUUCUCAGUCCUUUUCCCCAGCUUUCUUCCCUCCACAUUGUCGUUCUGUGCUGCCUGGCCAAGAAAUUGCAUCUGAUGUUUCCAAUCAAUGCAGCUAAGGAAGACAGAUGCCAAUGGAGUGGAUAUUUCACAGCUCUCCUGAGCACCCCAACCUGCUGAUGUCAUCUGACUUCUGUAUCAAUACCAAAAAGAGUUGGGAUAUUUCAGCAACACAAUGCAUCACAUUGGUGGCCAGUGGCCAUCCGAGUGCGUUAUUUCAGGUUGUGUACGCUGCACACAGGGUCUGUGGCAUUUUCAAGGCGAAGCACAAACAUGAAGGUAAUGGAGAUGGAGCUGCGAGGAAGGAGAAGUCCUCUGGGACUGUUGGAAGAAACAAACAGUAGGCUGCUAUUGAGCAUUGAUUUGGCUUGUUGGGCGGCUGCUGUUUUUUUCCCUAUUCAAUCAGCCAUGCCUUAUAGAUGGAAGUGACUUUCUGUCAGUGGAGUCGAAAGAGAAUUCGUCAUUAUCUGCCGAAUUUGGGGCUGCUCUUUCCCCGGYGAGAUCAGAGCUGCUGAGGUUUGUGCUGUCCAGCGCCGGGGCGCAAUGGGGAAAYGCAUCUCUGCUUCGGGCCAGCCCGGGCAGACGUGUCCCGAGCACCUCCCGUGAUGCAGCCCGGCUCGUUG